AUCAACGAUGGAAUAGCUUCAGGCUCAACACUCAAAUCUAGACAACAAUUAGGUAUACAUGCUGCGCAAGCACCAGUACAAGCGUAUUAUAAUGGCGGCAGCGACGAAUACCGAGGCAACAUCAGCAGAAAUUUAUCCAUCGGCAAUAUCGCCCACACUUUCAUCGAGCAUUAAUAUUCGCCCAAUAGCAUCAAAGAGAAAAUGUUCGCUAAUCUUCCUUAACAUUAUGGAUAUCUUUGGUUAAUUUUUACAUAUAUAUUUAUAAGUGGUUUGAGUGAAAGACUUCAUGCUGAAAGAUAAAGAAAAUGACAAUUUCUUGUCUGAAAAAUUGAAUUAUUUAAAUGUGGAAAUGCAAUGCGUAUUUAUUAGGACUUGCAAGGCAGUGUCAAAAGGCAAGGCUGCAUCUGGCAUCUGGCGGUUGAGGAAAAGACAAUGCACCGCUGGAAGUGUAACACGUAAAAGGCCAAGUGCAUUCGACAUAAGCUCUCUUCUGACAUUUUGCAUAAAAAAUGCACAUCAGCUUUGUCGUUGAAGGGUUAAGUUCCUUUUACAAGGGCUACUCAUUUCGCAUGUUUAAUUUCGCACACAACCCUCUUUCAAAAUGGAAAACAACAUAACCGCAAAGAAAGUCGAACCUAUGAAAGUCCGCACGCUACUGUGACUGCGCAUUCCGCGUCAACACGUUGAUCUCUAGAGUUUAUCGCUCCAAGGCAAACACCACAUUAGUAAACAAAUAUAUCUUGGAAAGGACAAGACAUUUUCUGGUCGCGUAUAAAUGUUGUUUAAUACUUUGCUAAAUAUCUUUACAAAAAGGAAAAAAAGUAAUUUAUUUCCAUUUUUUUUUAUAGCGUCCAGUUGGAAAUUACCUUCUCAAGUGAAUUGGUGACCUGUAAUAAACGACAACUCAAACCUCUAGUUUCUAAUAUUACAAUUAAGGAAUGACAAGUUGUCCUGCGUUGAUAGCACGGCUGGUGCGAAAUUUUUUAAUUAUGGGAACUAAUCUGAUGAGAAUUGAUUUGAUGGAUGGGAUUAGAGAACUGCUCCAACUGCUCGUUCACGCUACCCAUCACUUCCAUUAUGUAUUUAUCUUCUUGCCCAACUUGCUCCAUCAAUUCCUGAGGGAACAUCAUAUAUAUUUAAAAAUUUUGAAUUCGGAAACUCAAUGCUUGGUAAUUUCGCAAAUAACACAUUUUCGAUUUCUUUAUAGCCGCAGUCGACUUUCCAAUGCUGAGCAUGACUGCAAUAAAAAGGCCUGAUAGCGAAAAUUCUUAAUACAGAAAAGAGAGAAAGAGAUAGAUAGAGAUAGAUAGAUAGAGAGAGAGAAAGAGAGAGAGCGAGCGAGUGAGUAAGAGAGAAAAUAGUAUUACAUUGUUAGGAGCCUACGUACACCGAAGACGAGGAUUGUUCGGUAUUCUUCCGUCUUCGUAACUUUUUUCAAGUUGAAGUAGCCGCAACCAUAUAGGAUAUCCUCGGUCCGAGAAUAUUUUGCUUUUUCAUUUGUGUACACUUCGUCGAAGUGUACCUGUACAACCUUGUCGUGAGGACUUAACCUCCCUAAGACCUCUCUCAGCGCCUCGAUGCCUACUAAGUCUUAAACUACUUCAACUUCCUGGUCUUCAUCUUCGUUUGCAGCAGGUUCAAGGCAUCGAUUCUUCUCCCUCCGCACUGCUUCCGCCGACGUUGUUGGUCCUUCAUCGAAUAUCCAACUGGUCGCAGGUUUUCGCUAUACGGAACAAAUAUCUGAAAGACAGCGACAUUGAAGUAUCCAAUGUGGAGCGUGAUUCUCACCGCCGCAAUGUUAUUAUUAAAAAAAUGAAUUGUAAUAUAUUGUUUUUCAAAAUUUGGUAUUAUUUGAUAUUUAUAAUGAAAAUAACUUGUUAAACAAAUACAGUCUAUGGAAUCUUAAAUAUUCGAAAUUAUUCGAUCUUUUUGAUACAUGCAACAAACGCUUAGAUAUUACUGAUUUAUUGAUUAUUCUAAAAAGAAGGGACAAUUUUGUAGGAAAUUGUUGGUCAAGUUUGUUUAAAUAAUAAAUCGUAUGCAUUGAAAUCUAUAUACGAAAAGUCAGGAUAGAUUUCUGAUCGUUUGCUUCAAUGUUUAUGGGAUGAGAAACAUAUCUGGUCAAUUCGUUUCAGAAUCCGAAGUUGAUCAAGCCCAUGUAAAUGCAAAUGCCUUCAUUUGCAACAAAAGAACAGCCUUUGUUUGUUGGUAUGUAUAAAUUUUGAAAUAUAAGUCUUUCCGUCUCAUUUGACAAGUGCAACCAAAUUGAUUAUAUAAAUCGGUACACUAUCGUCUAAGAGAUAUUUUGGUUAUGAAGGCUUCAGUGCGUAAGAUUUCUAAGGAAAUUCUGUAAUUGCUGUAGGCAAUUGCUGGAGUGGUGACUUUUUUAGUAUUUUUUUAAAGCAACUCAUUACUUAUACAUGCAUUCGCAAUACUUCCUCCCUCGGGAUAUUCUUCUUCUUUUUUACAAAUAGGCUUGAGAUAUUUUCUUGAUUUUUUAUUAUUUUCCCUUGUACCCAAUUAUU
Long non-coding RNA from Glossina fuscipes, 2525 nucleotides. RefSeq lists it as uncharacterized. The record is from RefSeq and is a predicted model, not a curated record. Lineage: Eukaryota; Metazoa; Arthropoda; Insecta; Diptera; Glossinidae. The transcript has 3 exons.